This 460-nucleotide ribosomal RNA is filed under the name uncultured Capnocytophaga sp. RNAcentral's name for it is "bacterial SSU rRNA". It matches the Rfam family "Bacterial small subunit ribosomal RNA", at positions 338 to 795 of the family's 1533-position model. The record is from RNAcentral. Lineage: Bacteria; Pseudomonadati; Bacteroidota; Flavobacteriia; Flavobacteriales; Flavobacteriaceae.
CCUACGGGUGGCAGCAGUGAGGAAUAUUGGUCAAUGGUCGGAAGACUGAACCAGCCAUGCCGCGUGCAGGAAGAAUGCCUUAUGGGUUGUAAACUGCUUUUAUAUGGGAAGAAUAAGGCGUACGUGUACGUUGAUGACGGUACCAUAUGAAUAAGCAUCGGCUAACUCCGUGCCAGCAGCCGCGGUAAUACGGAGGAUGCGAGCGUUAUUCGGAAUCAUUGGGUUUAAAGGGUCUGUAGGCGGGCUAUUAAGUCAGGGGUGAAAGGUUUCAGCUUAACUGAGAAAUUGCCUUUGAUACUGGUAGUCUUGAAUAUCUGUGAAGUUCUUGGAAUGUGUAGUGUAGCGGUGAAAUGCUUAGAUAUUACACAGAACACCGAUUGCGAAGGCAGGGGACUAACAGACAAUUGACGCUGAGAGACGAAAGCGUGGGGAGCGAACAGGAUUAGAUACCCCAGUAGUC